This 253-nucleotide ribosomal RNA is filed under the name uncultured bacterium. Its description in RNAcentral is "partial 16S ribosomal RNA". It matches the Rfam family "Bacterial small subunit ribosomal RNA", at positions 524 to 776 of the family's 1533-position model. The record is from RNAcentral.
UACAGAGGGGGCAAGCGUUGUUCGGAAUUACUGGGCGUAAAGGGCGCGUAGGCGGCGCAACAAGUCACUUGUGAAAUCUCCGGGCUUAACCCGGAGCGGCCAAGUGAUACUGUCGUGCUAGAGUGCGGAAGGGGCUACUGGAAUUCUCGGUGUAGCGGUGAAAUGCGUAGAUAUCGAGAGGAACACCUGCGGCGAAGGCGGGUCUCUGGGCCGAUACUGACGCUGAGGAGCGAAAGCGUGGGGAGCGAACAGG